This 430-nucleotide ribosomal RNA is filed under the name Acidobacteriota bacterium. Its description in RNAcentral is "Acidobacteria bacterium partial 16S ribosomal RNA". It matches the Rfam family "Bacterial small subunit ribosomal RNA", at positions 355 to 776 of the family's 1533-position model. Lineage: Bacteria; Pseudomonadati; Acidobacteriota. The record is from RNAcentral.
UGGGGAAUAUUGGACAAUGGGCGAAAGCCUGAUCCAGCCAUGCCGCGUGUGUGAGGAAGGCCUUUUGGUUGUAAAGCACUUUAAGCGAGGAGGAGGCUACUUGGAUUAAUACUCUAGGAUAGUGGACGUUACUCGCAGAAUAAGCACCGGCUAACUCUGUGCCAGCAGCCGCGGUAAUACAGAGGGUGCGAGCGUUAAUCGGAUUUACUGGGCGUAAAGCGUGCGUAGGCGGCUUCUUAAGUCGGAUGUGAAAUCCCUGAGCUUAACUUAGGAAUUGCAUUCGAUACUGGGAAGCUAGAGUAUGGGAGAGGAUGGUAGAAUUCCAGGUGUAGCGGUGAAAUGCGUAGAGAUCUGGAGGAAUACCGAUGGCGAAGGCAGCCAUCUGGCCUAAUACUGACGCUGAGGUACGAAAGCAUGGGGAGCAAACAGG